RNAcentral lists this ribosomal RNA (451 nucleotides) under uncultured bacterium. RNAcentral describes it as "partial 16S ribosomal RNA". It matches the Rfam family "Bacterial small subunit ribosomal RNA", at positions 354 to 796 of the family's 1533-position model. The record is from RNAcentral.
GUGGGGAAUAUUGGACAAUGGGGGGAACCCUGAUCCAGCCAUGCCGCGUGUGUGAAGAAGGCCUUUUGGUUGUAAAGCACUUUAAGCGAGGAGGAGGCUACCGAGAUUAAUACUCUUGGAUAGUGGACGUUACUCGCAGAAUAAGCACCGGCUAACUCUGUGCCAGCAGCCGCGGUAAUACAGAGGGUGCAAGCGUUAAUCGGAUUUACUGGGCGUAAAGCGCGCGUAGGUGGCCAAUUAAGUCAAAUGUGAAAUCCCCGAGCUUAACUUGGGAAUUGCAGUCGAUACUGGUUGGCUAGAGUAUGGGAGAGGAUGGUAGAAUUCCAGGUGUAGCGGUGAAAUGCGUAGAGAUCUGGAGGAAUACCGAUGGCGAAGGCAGCCAUCUGGCCUAAUAUUGACACUGAGGUGCGAAAGCAUGGGGAGCAAACAGGAUUAGAUACCCGGGUAGUCC